Molecule: ribosomal RNA, 253 nt
Filed under: uncultured bacterium
Lineage: Bacteria
Description: partial 16S ribosomal RNA
Rfam family: Bacterial small subunit ribosomal RNA
Source: RNAcentral
UACGGAGGAUCCGAGCGUUAUCCGGAUUUAUUGGGUUUAAAGGGUGCGUAGGCGGGAGAUUAAGUCAGCGGUGAAAGUUUGCAGCUUAACUGUAAAAUUGCCGUUGAAACUGAUUUUCUUGAGUGUAAAUAAGGUAGGCGGAAUGUGUUGUGUAGCGGUGAAAUGCAUAGAUAUAACACAGAACCCCGAUUGCGAAGGCAGCUUACCGGGCUACAACUGACGCUGAGGCACGAAAGCGUGGGGAUCAAACAGG